CGGUCCAGACUCCUACGGGAGGCAGCAGUGGGGAAUAUUGCACAAUGGGGGAAACCCUGAUGCAGCCAUGCCGCGUGUGUGAAGAAGGCCUUCGGGUUGUAAAGCACUUUCAGCGAGGAGGAAAGGUUGUUGGCUAAUACCCAACAGCUGUGACGUUACUCGCAGAAGAAGCACCGGCUAACUCCGUGCCAGCAGCCGCGGUAAUACGGAGGGUGCAAGCGUUAAUCGGAAUUACUGGGCGUAAAGCGCACGCAGGCGGUUGGAUAAGUUAGA
This 273-nucleotide ribosomal RNA is filed under the name Aeromonas caviae. Its description in RNAcentral is "partial 16S ribosomal RNA". It matches the Rfam family "Bacterial small subunit ribosomal RNA", at positions 327 to 592 of the family's 1533-position model. The record is from RNAcentral. Lineage: Bacteria; Pseudomonadati; Pseudomonadota; Gammaproteobacteria; Aeromonadales; Aeromonadaceae.